Molecule: ribosomal RNA, 439 nt
Filed under: uncultured bacterium
Lineage: Bacteria
Description: bacterial SSU rRNA
Rfam family: Bacterial small subunit ribosomal RNA
Source: RNAcentral
GCAGUGGGGAAUAUUGGACAAUGGGCGAAAGCCUGAUCCAGCCAUGCCGCGUGUGUGAAGAAGGUCUUCGGAUUGUAAAGCACUUUAAGUUGGGAGGAAGGGUCGUUACCUAAUACGUGACGGUUUUGACGUUACCGACAGAAUAAGCACCGGCUAACUCUGUGCCAGCAGCCGCGGUAAUACAGAGGGUGCAAGCGUUAAUCGGAAUUACUGGGCGUAAAGCGCGCGUAGGUGGUUUGUCAAGUUGAAUGUGAAAUCCCCGGGCUCAACCUGGGAACUGCAUCCAAAACUGGCAAGCUAGAGUAUGGUAGAGGGUGGUGGAAUUUCCUGUGUAGCGGUGAAAUGCGUAGAUAUAGGAAGGAACAUCAGUGGCGAAGGCGACCACCUGGACUAAUACUGACACUGAGGUGCGAAAGCGUGGGGAGCAAACAGGAUUAGA